AUCUAGCUGAAGAGUUAAAAAUAGGACGAAAUUCGCAUCCUGGAU
This 45-nucleotide non-coding RNA is filed under the name Trichobilharzia regenti. The record is from RNAcentral. Lineage: Eukaryota; Metazoa; Platyhelminthes; Trematoda; Strigeidida; Schistosomatidae.